This 203-nucleotide long non-coding RNA is filed under the name Physcomitrium patens. RNAcentral's name for it is "long non-coding RNA (PPAT_LNC009106)". The record is from RNAcentral. Lineage: Eukaryota; Viridiplantae; Streptophyta; Bryopsida; Funariales; Funariaceae.
AUUUAUUGGAAUUAUUCCUACAAUCAAAGAUAAGGUAUUUCAGGUUAGAAUAUCUUGAGUUCAUGACUUUUACUAGAUUUGAAAGGAAGUUAUUGGUGUGUUGAUAAUAAGUAGAAUUUUUCAUAGAAUCUACAUGUGUAUUUCUUAUUUUUUUUAUUUGAUUGUUGUAUUUGGUGUGCUUGAAACUUGGAUUAUAAAUUAAU